RNAcentral lists this ribosomal RNA (467 nucleotides) under uncultured bacterium. RNAcentral's name for it is "partial 16S ribosomal RNA". It matches the Rfam family "Bacterial small subunit ribosomal RNA", at positions 28 to 507 of the family's 1533-position model. The record is from RNAcentral.
GACGAACGCUGGCGGCGUGCUUAACACAUGCAAGUCGAACGGAAAGGCCUCUUUCGGGGGGUACUCGAGUGGCGAACGGGUGAGUAACACGUGAGUAACCUGCCCUUGACUUUGGGAUAACUUCAGAAAACUGGGGCUAAUACCGGAUAGGAGCUCCUGCUGCAUGGUGGGGGUUGGAAAGUUUCGGCGGUUGGGGGUGGACUCGCGGCUUAUCAGCUUGUUGGUGGGGUAGUGGCUUACCAAGGCUUUGACGGGUAGCCGGACUGAGAGGGUGACCGGCGACAUUGGGACUGAGAUACGGCCCAGACUCCUGCGGGAGGCAGCAGUGGGGAAUAUUGCACAAUGGGUGGAAGCCUGAUGCAGCAACGCCGUGUGCGGGAUGACGGCCUUCGGGUUGUAAAACGCUUUCGCUCAUGACGAAGCUUUGUGUGACGGUAGUGGGUAAAGAAGCACCGGCUAACUACGUG